Long non-coding RNA from Hippocampus zosterae (dwarf seahorse), 928 nucleotides. RefSeq lists it as uncharacterized. The transcript has 2 exons. NCBI's taxonomy places the organism in Eukaryota, Metazoa, Chordata, Actinopteri, Syngnathiformes, Syngnathidae. The record is from RefSeq and is a predicted model, not a curated record.
CACACACGCACUCAUAUAUAGAAAUUCGAUUGUUGUCAGUAGUUUAUCUAAUAAACCCCGAUCUUUUUUUAGUCAAUCAUAUAGCUAUAAAAAGAUCAUUCAGAUCAAUGUCGCAGUGGUCAUUUCCACAAGUGUAUCUAUCAAAAAUGCAAUACGGUCGAUUACUAGGUCGAAAUAUUAAAAUGUUAGCCUUUUCUAAGGGAUAUGUCUUUGGCUCUUUACCGCUACUUGUUGGCCAUCUGCAGUACUGCAGAGUCCCCCCCCCCCCCGCCUCCCAUUCAAGCACAAAACAAGAGAUUAUCUAAAAGACAGUAACAUACUUUAUGCAUACAUUAUUCCUAAGUACAAAAAUAUUUGAUGAAACCAUUUUUUUUUUUAAUAUAAGCCGGCGAGUUCGCCUGACAUCACCCGAGACCUCGAGCAUUCAUUUUCUAUACAAGUUAAACUCAUUCGGGUCGCAGCGAACUCGAUUGUGUCCCAGUUGCGAGUAUUUUUUUUUUUUUUUUGCAAAAGGAGCCGGGCUACUUCAAAACAGUUCUUCUGCUAACGAACAAAAUAUCAAGUGUAAGGAUGGAGGCCAUUUUGUCCAAACCUGCUUUUUUUUUUUUUUUUUUUUUGGUCACAUAGCAUCUUUAAUACCACCAUUAUAAUAAUUAGAAUAUCAAAAGUAUGGAGUAUACAUUACAUCGUUUGCAUUGCGCCACACAAUUGCGAGCGGACUUAAUCUCGUUAUAAUUUUUCCAUUUUCCCUCCUUUUCGUAAUUCUUCUUGUGGCGAUCUCCUCAUUGUGCUGAUCCGGCGAGCCUUCGUUCGGGAAGAAGAACACUGAAUUGGACAUGAGGUGAUAGAAAAAGCUUCCGAACGGUACUUGUAUUCCUAUACUCUACUACUUUCCAAUACCGGUAAAUCUCCGUUAUAAGUCACCCCC